This 21-nucleotide microRNA is filed under the name Homo sapiens (human). Its description in RNAcentral is "hsa-miR-3925-3p". The record is from miRBase by way of RNAcentral. Lineage: Eukaryota; Metazoa; Chordata; Mammalia; Primates; Hominidae.
ACUCCAGUUUUAGUUCUCUUG